Molecule: long non-coding RNA, 1116 nt
Filed under: Calidris pugnax (ruff)
Lineage: Eukaryota; Metazoa; Chordata; Aves; Charadriiformes; Scolopacidae
Description: lncRNA (ENSCPUG00000009460.1)
Source: RNAcentral
CAAGAAAGCUUUAAACUAGAUUUGAAGGGGGACGGGGUUGGAACCGGGGCUACUAAAGUGGUGCCCAGGAACAGCGCACCAAUGAUAUUAGGUAAAUGUGCCAGCCCUUCCGGAAAAAUAGUGGGAAGACUAGCCCGGCUGAAGUGCAUCUACAUGAAUGCACGCAGCAUGGGCAACAAACAGGAGGAGCUGGAGGCCAUCAUGCAGGAAGAAAACUACGAUUUAGUUGCCAUCACAGAAACGUGGUGGGAUGACUCGCAUAACUGGAGUGCUGCAAUUGAUGGCUACCAACUUUUCAGAAGGGACAGGCAAGGAAAGAGAGGAGGUGGGGUGGCCCUUUAUGUUAAGAACAGUCUUCUAUGCCUAGAACUUAGCAAUAUGCAUGAUGACAGUGUCGAGUGCCUGUGGAUAAGGAUCAAGGGGAAGACCAGUAAGGCAGACAUUGUGGUGGGAGUUUGUUAUAGACCCCCAAACCAGGAUAUAAAGACUGAUGAAGUAUUCUAUAGGCAGGUGACAGAAGCCUCACGAUCACUCUCCCUUGUACUCAUGGGGGACUUCAAUUUCCCUGAUAUCUGCUGGCAAUAUAACACAGCAGAGAGGCAACAGUCCUGGAGAUUCUUGGAAUGCGUGGAAGACAACUUCCUAACGCAGCUGGUGAGGGAACCGACCAGGGAAAGUGCCCUACUGGACCUGCUGAUAGUUAACUCGGAAGGUCUUGUGGGGGAUGUAAACGUUGGAGGCCGUCUUGGACAAAGUGAUCAUGAAAUGAUAAAAUUUUCAAUUCUCACUGAAGCAAGGCGGGGGGCCAGCAGGACUGCCACCCUGGACUUCCGAAGGGCAGACUUUGGCCUCUUCAGGAGCAUGAUUGGGGGUGUCCCUUGGGAGAUGGUCCUCGAGGGCAAGGGUGCCCAGGAAAGCUGGUCAUUCUUCAAGGAGGCACUCUUAAAGGCGCAAGAUAAAGCUAUUCCCAAGUCCCUAAAAUCAAGCAGGAAGGGAAGAAGACCAGCCUGGCUAAAUAGAGAGCUUCGGCUGGAACUCAGGAACAAAAAGAAGGCUUAUAAUCUUUGGAAAAAGGGCCUGGCAGAUAAGGAGAAAUACCAUGAAGCGGUGAGGAUA